RNAcentral lists this unclassified non-coding RNA (325 nucleotides) under Coprinellus radians. Its description in RNAcentral is "partial internal transcribed spacer region". The stretch from base 1 to 46 matches the Rfam family "Eukaryotic small subunit ribosomal RNA", at positions 1786 to 1831 of the family's 1831-position model. Lineage: Eukaryota; Fungi; Basidiomycota; Agaricomycetes; Agaricales; Psathyrellaceae. RNAcentral also lists the same sequence under 1 other name. The record is from RNAcentral.
AAGUCGUAACAAGGUUUCCGUAGGUGAACCUGCGGAAGGAUCAUUAACGAAUAACUAUGGUGUUGGUUGUAGCUGGCUCCUCGGAGCAAUGUGCACGCCCGCCAUUUUUAUCUUUCCACCUGUGCACCGACUGUAGGUCUGGAUACCUCUCGCCUCCCUUCUCUUAGGGAGGCGGAUGCGGGGAUUGCUCGCAAGGGCUCUCCUCGAACUUCCAGGCUCUACGUCUUUUUACACACCCCAAUAGUAUGAUCCAGAAUGAUAGUCAAUGGGCUUUCAUAGCCUAUAAAACACUAUACAACUUUCAGCAACGGAUCUCUUGGCUCUC